AUAUGUUUUCAGGUUUUAAGACUAUUGAACUUACUGUAUUAGCUACUGCUGUAAUACUUGUUUGAAUAAGGAAAUAAACCAUUAAAAGAAAAGAAAAUCAAGAGCAUUGAAAGCUUUAUAACCAUCCUGUUAGUGCUCCAAAAGAGAAAGUCACUCUGGAACACAUUAUGUUCUGUUUCCACUAAUAUCUCA
RNAcentral lists this microRNA precursor (192 nucleotides) under Vicugna pacos (alpaca). Its description in RNAcentral is "miRNA (ENSVPAG00000017929.1)". Lineage: Eukaryota; Metazoa; Chordata; Mammalia; Artiodactyla; Camelidae. The record is from RNAcentral.